Molecule: ribosomal RNA, 393 nt
Filed under: uncultured bacterium
Lineage: Bacteria
Description: partial 16S ribosomal RNA
Rfam family: Bacterial small subunit ribosomal RNA
Source: RNAcentral
AUACGGAGGAUCCGAGCGAUAUCCGGAUUUAUUGGGUUUAAAGGGAGCGUAGGUGGAUUGUUAAGUCAGUUGUGAAAGUUUGCGGCUCAACCGUAAAAUUGCAGUUGAAACUGGCAGUCUUGAGUACAGUAGAGGUGGGCGGAAUUCGUGGUGUAGCGGUGAAAUGCUUAGAUAUCACGAAGAACUCCGAUUGCGAAGGCAGCUCACUAGACUGUUACUGACACUGAUGCUCGAAAGUUUGGGUAUCAAACAGGAUUAGAUACCCUGGUAGUCCACACAGUAAACGAUGAAUACUCGCUUUUUGCGAUAUACAGUAAGCGGCCAAGCGAAAGCAUUAAGUAUUCCACCUGGGGAGUACGCCGGCAACGGUGAAACUCACAUGAAUUGACGGGG